RNAcentral lists this unclassified non-coding RNA (211 nucleotides) under uncultured Basidiomycota. RNAcentral describes it as "sequence contains ITS2". Lineage: Eukaryota; Fungi; Basidiomycota. The record is from RNAcentral.
AAGUCUCAAUUCCCUUUGAUUUGUUUUGAAGGGGACUUGGAUUGUGGGGGCUUGCUGGCGACCUUUUGGCCGUCGGCUCCCCUGAAAUGCAUUGGCCGUGUACUGACGUGCAUGAAUGGCUUUUUGGCGUGAUAAUGAUCGCCGUGGUCUGAAGUGCUUUAAAUGUCUGGUGCAUGCCUAUAGCCGUCGACUAGCGCGACAACUCUUGAAC